Monodelphis domestica (gray short-tailed opossum) is the source of this 632-nucleotide long non-coding RNA. RefSeq lists it as uncharacterized. NCBI's taxonomy places the organism in Eukaryota, Metazoa, Chordata, Mammalia, Didelphimorphia, Didelphidae. The record is from RefSeq and is a predicted model, not a curated record.
UUCUCAAAAUACAUGUUUCCAUGGAACCUAACAACAGACAGGAAGCCUGGGGGAUAGUCUGUUGCUAUCUAUCACUGUUGCUAAGGGCAGGAUGAGUGGGUAGAAUCAACAUGACCGAGAUAUAGGUUAAGGAAUUCAGAGCAAAGAUUUGCCAGAAGUUUUUAUGCCUAGAAAAGAGGGUCCUAUCUAAAAAUAUAUUGAGUAUUUACUAUCUAAAAGAAAUUGAGUAAACAAAGAGAAAGAGAGAGAUGAUAUAGUCCUUUUCCUCAAGAAUCUUAUAUUCUAUUGGGGGAAGCAGGCAGGAAAUUAUAUAGCAUAAACACAGAACAGUACCUCAAGAAGAACAUCUUGGCAUCACUAUGAAAAUGAAAUUGAAACGAACUGAAACUAAUUAGGAGAAUAUUUCAAUAGGCUAAACAAAAUGUUAUGGGGUGCUGAAACAGCAAAACAGUCAUAUAAAAGGGGAGAAAAGUGGAGGAAAUAAGAGAUGUGGAGAUAAAAUCUAUAUGAUCCAGUCCUUGGUUGUAGCACAAGAGUGCCAUCUUCAGCUCUCAAACACUCGGAAUUCUUGAGACUGUUGCCAUCUGUGAAUCAGGAAAGACGGCUAUUAAAUAUAUUUCAUUGCCAUGAAA